This 477-nucleotide ribosomal RNA is filed under the name uncultured bacterium. RNAcentral's name for it is "partial 16S ribosomal RNA". It matches the Rfam family "Bacterial small subunit ribosomal RNA", at positions 28 to 523 of the family's 1533-position model. The record is from RNAcentral.
GACGAACGCUGGCGGCAUGCCUAACACAUGCAAGUCGAGCGAGUUGAUUUCUUCGGAAUAAAGCUAGCGGCGGACGGGUGAGUAACACGUGGGCAACCUGCCUCAUAGAGGGGAAUAGCCUUCCGAAAGGAAGAUUAAUACCGCAUAAGAUUGUAGUACCGCAUGGUAUAGCAAUUAAAGGAGUAAUCCGCUAUGAGAUGGGCCCGCGGCGCAUUAGCUAGUGGUGAGGUAACGGCUCACCAAGGCGACGAUGCGUAGCCGACCUGAGAGGGUGAUCGGCCACAUUGGGACUGAGACACGGCCCAGACUCCUACGGGAGGCAGCAGUGGGGAAUAUUGCACAAUGGGGGAAACCCUGAUGCAGCAAUGCCGCGUGAGUGAUGACGGCCUUCGGGUUGUAAAGCUCUGUCUUCGGGGACGAUAAUGACGGUACCCGAGGAGGAAGCCACGGCUAACUACGUGCCAGCAGCCGCAGUAA